RNAcentral lists this ribosomal RNA (484 nucleotides) under uncultured bacterium. RNAcentral describes it as "partial 16S ribosomal RNA". It matches the Rfam family "Bacterial small subunit ribosomal RNA", at positions 30 to 507 of the family's 1533-position model. The record is from RNAcentral.
AUUGAACGCUGGCGGCAGGCCUAACACAUGCAAGUCGAGCGAAUGAAGGGAGCUUGCUCCUGGAUUCAGCGGCGGACGGGUGAGUAAUGCCUAGGAAUCUGCCUGGUAGUGGGGGAUAACGUCCGGAAACGGGCGCUAAUACCGCAUACGUCCUGAGGGAGAAAGUGGGGGAUCUUCGGACCUCACGCUAUCAGAUGAGCCUAGGUCGGAGUAGCUAGUUGGUGGGGUAAAGGCCUACCAAGGCGACGAUCCGUAACUGGUCUGAGAGGAUGAUCAGUCACACUGGAACUGAGACACGGUCCAGACUCCUACGGGAGGCAGCAGUGGGGAAUAUUGGACAAUGGGCGAAAGCCUGAUCCAGCCAUGCCGCGUGUGUGAAGAAGGUCUUCGGAUUGUAAAGCACUUUAAGUUGGGAGGAAGGGCAGUAAGUUAAUACCUUGCUGUUUUGACGUUACCAACAGAAUAAGCACCGGCUAACUUCGUG